GUCCUUUUGAUUUUUAUUUAAGGUCUGACCUGCCCACUGAUUUAUUUAAUGGCCGCGGUAUUUUGACCGUGCAAAGGUAGCAUAGUAAUUUGUCUUUUAAUUGAAGGCUUGUAUGAAUGGUUGGACGAGAAAACUACUUUCUUUAUAAUAAAAUUGUUAAUUUUAUUUUUUAGUUAAAAAGCUAAAAUGUUGUUGUAGGACGAGAAGACCCUAUAGAACUUUAUAUUUAUUUUUUUAUCAAUAUUUUUGGUUAAUAAUAUGUUGUAUUUUUAUAAAUAUUUUGUUGGGGCGACAAGAAAAUUUAUUUAACUUUUUUUAUUAAUUUCAUUAAUUAAUGUAUAAAUGAUCCUUUAUUAUGGAUAAUUAGAAUAAGUUACCUUAGGGAUAACAGCGUAAUUUUUUUGGAGAGUUCUUAUCGAUAAAAAAGUUUG
RNAcentral lists this ribosomal RNA (431 nucleotides) under Callicorixa wollastoni. Its description in RNAcentral is "partial large subunit ribosomal RNA". It matches the Rfam family "Archaeal large subunit ribosomal RNA", at positions 1921 to 2589 of the family's 2987-position model. Lineage: Eukaryota; Metazoa; Arthropoda; Insecta; Hemiptera; Corixidae. The record is from RNAcentral.